RNAcentral lists this ribosomal RNA (467 nucleotides) under uncultured bacterium. RNAcentral describes it as "partial 16S ribosomal RNA". It matches the Rfam family "Bacterial small subunit ribosomal RNA", at positions 28 to 506 of the family's 1533-position model. The record is from RNAcentral.
GACGAACGCUGGCGGCGUGCUUAACACAUGCAAGUCGAACGGAAAGGCCCUGCUUUUGUGGGGUGCUCUAGUGGCGAACGGGUGAGUAACACGUGAGUAACCUGCCCUUGACUUUGGGAUAACUUCAGGAAACUGGGGCUAAUACCGGAUAGGAGCUCCUGCUGCAUGGUGGGGGUUGGAAAGUUUCGGCGGUUGGGGAUGGACUCGCGGCUUAUCAGCUUGUUGGUGGGGUAGUGGCUUACCAAGGCUUUGACGGGUAGCCGGCCUGAGAGGGUGACCGGCCACAUUGGGACUGAGAUACGGCCCAGACUCCUACGGGAGGCAGCAGUGGGGAAUAUUGCACAAUGGGCGGAAGCCUGAUGCAGCAACGCCGCGUGCGGGAUGACGGCCUUCGGGUUGUAAACCGCUUUCGCCUGUGACGAAGCGUGAGUGACGGUAAUGGGUAAAGAAGCACCGGCUAACUACGU